CGCGUAGGCGGCCGCCUAAGCGGAACCUCUAAUCCCGGGGCUCAACCUCGGGCCGGGUUCCGGACUGGGCGGCUCGAGUGCGGUAGAGGCAGGCGGAAUUCCCGGUGUAGCGGUGGAAUGCGCAGAUAUCGGGAAGAACACCGAUGGCGAAGGCAGCCUGCUGGGCCGCCACUGACGCUGGGGCGCGAAAGCUGGGGGAGCGAACA
RNAcentral lists this ribosomal RNA (206 nucleotides) under uncultured bacterium. Its description in RNAcentral is "partial 16S ribosomal RNA". It matches the Rfam family "Bacterial small subunit ribosomal RNA", at positions 568 to 774 of the family's 1533-position model. The record is from RNAcentral.